Molecule: ribosomal RNA, 493 nt
Filed under: Nocardiopsis alkaliphila
Lineage: Bacteria; Bacillati; Actinomycetota; Actinomycetes; Streptosporangiales; Nocardiopsidaceae
Description: bacterial SSU rRNA
Rfam family: Bacterial small subunit ribosomal RNA
Source: RNAcentral
UUGGAGAGUUGAUCCUGGCUCAGGACGAACGCUGGCGGCGUGCUUAACACAUGCAAGUCGAGCGGUAAGGCCCUUCGGGGUACACGAGCGGCGAACGGGUGAGUAACACGUGAGCAACCUGCCCCUGACUCCGGGAUAAGCGGUGGAAACGCCGUCUAAUACCGGAUACGACCCUCCUCCGCAUGGUGGGGGGUGGAAAGUUUUUUCGGUCGGGGAUGGGCUCGCGGCCUAUCAGCUUGUUGGUGGGGUAACGGCCUACCAAGGCGAUUACGGGUAGCCGGCCUGAGAGGGCGACCGGCCACACUGGGACUGAGACACGGCCCAGACUCCUGCGGGAGGCAGCAGUGGGGAAUAUUGCGCAAUGGGCGAAAGCCUGACGCAGCGACGCCGCGUGGGGGAUGACGGCCUUCGGGUUGUAAACCUCUUUUACCACUCACGCAGGCCCCACGUUUUCGUGGGGUUGACGGUAGGGGGGAAAAGGACGGGCAACACU